UCCAUGGUGGUCCAGUAGUUAAGACUUUGUGCUUCUAUUGCAGGGGGCACAGGUUUGACCCCUGUUUGGGGAA
This 73-nucleotide transfer RNA is filed under the name Ovis aries (sheep). It matches the Rfam family "tRNA". From Rfam's summary of the family: Transfer RNA (tRNA) molecules are approximately 80 nucleotides in length. Their secondary structure includes four short double-helical elements and three loops (D, anti-codon, and T loops). Lineage: Eukaryota; Metazoa; Chordata; Mammalia; Artiodactyla; Bovidae. The record is from Rfam by way of RNAcentral.